Molecule: long non-coding RNA, 632 nt
Filed under: Cyanistes caeruleus (blue tit)
Lineage: Eukaryota; Metazoa; Chordata; Aves; Passeriformes; Paridae
Description: lncRNA (ENSCCEG00000009790.1)
Source: RNAcentral
UGGCCCAGGAAGAAUGGUUUGGCUACCAUUGAACCACAAGGGGAAGAGAGGAAAGGUACAGAACAGCUGGGUUUAAUGAGCUGGAACAGAUAAAAAUCACUCCCUGAGCACUGGAAAGCAGAAGGAGAACAAAGCCAAAUGUUCUUGCUGAGCAACACGGUGACCCUAUGAAGUCAGCUUCAGAGGCUCAUCCAGGAGUCACUUCCCCAUGGGCCUCCUCAAACAGGUCUACAAUUUGUUUCAGAACACCAGUGGUUUCAAUAGAUGCAUCCUUGCAUAAACCUGAAUCCCUGUUGCCACGAAAAUUAGCAGUGGAAAGCACCAGGUCCUUCUGCACAAGUGCUGGUGCAAAAUACAGGGCUGAACAGCGACCUUUACUUCUGUAAAGAUUGGUAACACUGUGGAUCCUGACAGUGUUCAAGGGGAGACUGAAACACCUUGACCCUAACUGGAACCCUGCCAAAAGUAAGAAUUAUUGUUUUUAAAAAAUAAUCCUUCAUGAGCCCAUAGGCCACAGGAGACUAAGGGUCCAUAGGUUGAAAAUCACGGCUUUGAGAAAUGAUACUUCAUUCCUGUAUUAACUGGUAAUAUAUGUCUGAAUAAAAUUCACCAGUUCUGUGAUUUAUAUGGCA